Cricetulus griseus (Chinese hamster) is the source of this 104-nucleotide ribosomal RNA. Lineage: Eukaryota; Metazoa; Chordata; Mammalia; Rodentia; Cricetidae. The record is from Ensembl.
AUAUUACAUCCCUGAAUACACCUGAUCUCCUCUGCACUUGGCAGCUAAGCAGAGUCAGGCCUGGUUAGUACACGAAUGAGAAACUACAGUCUUUCUAGGCUGUU